This 222-nucleotide non-coding RNA is filed under the name Marinobacter sp. LV10R510-11A. Lineage: Bacteria; Pseudomonadati; Pseudomonadota; Gammaproteobacteria; Pseudomonadales; Marinobacteraceae. The record is from RNAcentral.
AAAGUCCCUACGAGGUAAGGCUGGCGGGCCGCUUCGUCCCCGAGUCAUGCGCGACUGUCCGCAAGGGCCGCCGUGAAGUGUUGACAGGGGUGUCUGCAGGCGAAGUAUCGAGCUGCGAAAUCAUUAGUUGGAGAGGCAGAUGCUGUUAAGCGAAGCAGAAUGCAACAUGACCAGUACCGUCAAACCGCAAGGUAUGGGCCACUCUCCCGCAGUCGUAGACCU